RNAcentral lists this ribosomal RNA (548 nucleotides) under uncultured Glomeromycotina. RNAcentral describes it as "SSU rRNA". It matches the Rfam family "Eukaryotic small subunit ribosomal RNA", at positions 548 to 1098 of the family's 1831-position model. The record is from RNAcentral. Lineage: Eukaryota; Fungi; Glomeromycota.
UUGGAGGGCAAGUCUGGUGCCAGCAGCCGCGGUAAUUCCAGCUCCAAUAGCGUAUAUUAAAGUUGUUGCAGUUAAAAAGCUCGUAGUAGAAUUUCGGGAUCAAAUUGUCGGUCGUGCCUCGGUACGCACUGGUAUUAUUGGUUCCUACCUUCUGAAGAACCGCGAUGUCAUUAAUUUGGUGUCGUGGGGAAUCAGGACUGUUACUUUGAAAAAAUUAGAGUGUUUAAAGCAGGCUUACGCUUGAAUACAUUAGCAUGGAAUAAUGAAAUAGGACGUUUGAUUCUAUUUUGUUGGUUUCUAGGAUUGACGUAAUGAUUAAUAGGGAUAGUUGGGGGCAUUAGUAUUCAAUUGUCAGAGGUGAAAUUCUUGGAUUUAUUGAAGACUAACUACUGCGAAAGCAUUUGCCAAGGAUGUUUUCAUUAAUCAAGAACGAAAGUUAGGGGAUCGAAGACGAUCAGAUACCGUCGUAGUCUUAACCAUAAACUAUGCCGACUAGGGAUCGGAUGAUGUUAAUUUUUUAAUGACUCAUUCGGCGCCUUACGGGAAAC